AGCUCCAAUAGCGUAUAUUAAAGUUGUUGCGGUUAAAAAGCUCGUAGUUGGAUCUCAGUUUAAGUUAAGUGGUCCACUUGCCGGUGGUUACUGCUUAACUUAAACAUUUUACAGACCUGAUUUGUGAUGCUCUUCACCGGGUGUCGCAGGCGAUCUGUACGUUUACUUUGAAAAAAUUAGAGUGCGUAAAGCCGGAAUAAUCUUGCAUGGAAUAAUGGAAUAGGACCUUCAGUUCUAUUUAGUUGGUCUUCGGAACCUGAGGUAAUGAUUAAGAGGGACAGACGGGGGCAUUCGUAUUGCGGCGCUAGAGGUGAAAUUCUUGGACCGUCGCAAGACGAACUACAGCGAAAGCAUUUGCCAAGAAUGUUUUCA
RNAcentral lists this ribosomal RNA (372 nucleotides) under uncultured eukaryote. RNAcentral's name for it is "SSU rRNA". It matches the Rfam family "Eukaryotic small subunit ribosomal RNA", at positions 587 to 972 of the family's 1831-position model. The record is from RNAcentral.